Small nucleolar RNA from Corylus avellana, 107 nucleotides. The record is from RefSeq and is a predicted model, not a curated record. NCBI's taxonomy places the organism in Eukaryota, Viridiplantae, Streptophyta, Magnoliopsida, Fagales, Betulaceae.
AUGUUGUGAUGUGGGCAUUUCAGAAGUAAUGCAUUGAAGUGCUCCCAUGCCUCGAAGAAAAGAUCUCCAUCGCUUUGUUGGAACAUUUGGAGUUCCUUUUUAAGCUG